RNAcentral lists this ribosomal RNA (433 nucleotides) under uncultured bacterium. RNAcentral's name for it is "partial 16S ribosomal RNA". It matches the Rfam family "Bacterial small subunit ribosomal RNA", at positions 29 to 507 of the family's 1533-position model. The record is from RNAcentral.
AACGAACGCUGGCGGCAGGCCUAACACAUGCAAGUCGAGCGAGGACUUCGGUCCUAGCGGCGGACGGGUGAGUAACGCGUGGGAACGUGCCCUUUGCUUCGGAAUAGCCCUGGGAAACUGGGAGUAAUACCGGAUGAGCCCUUUGGGGGAAAGAUUUAUCGGCGAAGGAUCGGCCCGCGUUGGAUUAGGUAGUUGGUGGGGUAAUGGCCUACCAAGCCGACGAUCCAUAGCUGGUUUGAGAGGAUGAUCAGCCACACUGGGACUGAGACACGGCCCAGACUCCUACGGGAGGCAGCAGUGGGGAAUCUUAGACAAUGGGGGAAACCCUGAUCGAGCCAUGCCGCGUGAGCGAUGAAGGCCUUAGGGUUGUAAAGCUCUUUCAGCUUGGAAGAUAAUGACGGUACCAGCAGAAGAAGCCCCGGCUAACUCCGUG